RNAcentral lists this transfer RNA (91 nucleotides) under Coemansia sp. Benny D115. RNAcentral's name for it is "tRNA-Ser". It matches the Rfam family "tRNA". From Rfam's summary of the family: Transfer RNA (tRNA) molecules are approximately 80 nucleotides in length. Their secondary structure includes four short double-helical elements and three loops (D, anti-codon, and T loops). Further hydrogen bonds mediate the characteristic L-shaped molecular structure. tRNAs have two regions of fundamental functional importance: the anti-codon, which is responsible for specific mRNA codon recognition, and the 3' end, to which the tRNAs corresponding amino acid is attached (by aminoacyl-tRNA synthetases). tRNAs cope with the degeneracy of the genetic code in two manners: having more than one tRNA (with a specific anti-codon) for a particular amino acid; and 'wobble' base-pairing, i.e. permitting non-standard base-pairing at the 3rd anti-codon position. Lineage: Eukaryota; Fungi; Kickxellomycota; Kickxellomycetes; Kickxellales; Kickxellaceae. The record is from RNAcentral.
GGGUAGAUGACUGAGUAUGGUUUAAGGUACUUCGCUUGAAACGAAGAGAAGUUUGGAAUAACUUCCAUGGGUUCAAAUCCCAUUCUGCCCG